Molecule: non-coding RNA, 88 nt
Organism: Arthromyces matolae
Lineage: Eukaryota; Fungi; Basidiomycota; Agaricomycetes; Agaricales; Lyophyllaceae
Source: the annotation of a GenBank genome assembly
UCUUUGCUAGUAUAUCGGUUAGUACACGCGCCUGUCAUUCAUCGACGCUCGUCCGCGCGUAAGCUGGGUUCGACUCCCAGGCAAAGAG